This 75-nucleotide transfer RNA is filed under the name Microcaldota archaeon. Its description in RNAcentral is "tRNA-Arg". It matches the Rfam family "tRNA". Rfam says of the family: Transfer RNA (tRNA) molecules are approximately 80 nucleotides in length. Their secondary structure includes four short double-helical elements and three loops (D, anti-codon, and T loops). Lineage: Archaea; Nanobdellati; Microcaldota. The record is from RNAcentral.
GGGCCCGUAGCUCAGCUUGGAUAGAGCAGCACCCUUCUAAGGUGAUGGUCACGGGUUCAAAUCCCGUCGGGCCCG